Molecule: unclassified non-coding RNA, 111 nt
Organism: Aotus nancymaae (Ma's night monkey)
Lineage: Eukaryota; Metazoa; Chordata; Mammalia; Primates; Aotidae
Rfam family: Y RNA
About the family: Y RNAs are components of the Ro ribonucleoprotein particle (Ro RNP), in association with Ro60 and La proteins.
Source: Ensembl
GGCUGGUCCAAAGGUAAUGAUUUAUCUCAAUUGAUUGUUCACAAUUAGCUACAGAUUAAAAUCCUUGUUCUACUUUUCCUCCUUCUCACUGCUACACUUGAGUAGUCUUCA